UUGACAUCCACGGAAGUUUUCAGAGAUGAGAAUGUGCCUUCGGGAACCGUGAGACAGGUGCUGCAUGGCUGUCGUCAGCUCGUGUUGUGAAAUGUUGGGUUAAGUCCCGCAACGAGCGCAACCCUUAUCCUUUGUUGCCAGCGGUCCGGCCGGGAACUCAAAGGAGACUGCCAGUGAUAAACUGGAGGAAGGUGGGGAUGACGUCAAGUCAUCAUGGCCCUUACGACCAGGGCUACACACGUGCUACAAUGGCGCAUACAAAGAGAAGCGACCUCGCGAGAGCAAGCGGACCUCAUAAAGUGCGUCGUAGUCCGGAUUGGAGUCUGCAACUCGACUCCAUGAAGUCGGAAUCGCUAGUAAUCGUGGAUCAGAAUGCCACGGUGAAUACGUUCCCGGGCCUUGUACACACCGCCCGUCACACCAUGGGAGUGGGUUGCAAAAGAAGUAGGUAGCUUAACCUUCGGGAGGGCGCUUACCACUUUGUGAUUCAUGACUGGGGUGAAGUCGUAACAAGGUAAGCGUACGUGU
Molecule: ribosomal RNA, 528 nt
Filed under: uncultured bacterium
Lineage: Bacteria
Description: bacterial SSU rRNA
Rfam family: Bacterial small subunit ribosomal RNA
Source: RNAcentral